This 770-nucleotide long non-coding RNA is filed under the name Cucumis sativus (cucumber). Its description in RNAcentral is "long non-coding RNA (CSAT_LNC003034)". Lineage: Eukaryota; Viridiplantae; Streptophyta; Magnoliopsida; Cucurbitales; Cucurbitaceae. The record is from RNAcentral.
CCGUUUCGUGUAAGCCAUACGCGAGCCACGCGCAACCGAUCCAUUCCUGUGUGAGUCGUAUGCCAGCCGUGAGUCUCAAGACUCGAGCUGAAGCGUUGUUAGUCGAGCCACCUUCAGUUUUAGCCGUCUGCAACAUAUUUAAGCCCUUGGUGAGUUUUUGCUUAAUUCUCGUUGGGUUUGGUACACCCAAAUAAUUAUUGUUUUGGGUCUAAAAUGAGUUAGCACUGGAAUGAGUUGAAUUAUGUUGUUUGAGAUGGUCGUAUAAAUAGUUACUUUGAAAACCUUAUUAUGAUUUAGAUAUAGUAUUAUUUGUUGAGGCAUGCUAUAAUCAAAUAUGUUACUUUUGAGUUAUGUGUAAUUGAGCUAAGAUGUUGAUCUUAUGAUAAACAUGUAUAGGCUAUAGUGUUCUGUUAGUUUUGCCUAUUAGAGUUGUACCGUAUGGGGGUCCAUCAGGGUCACCACCUAUGUAUGCAUGUGUGACUUGUUUGAGAUGUGAUUCGACGGGAUCACUUACAGUCUGACUCUCCUAUAGGAUGAUUCCUUCGGGUUCACCGAGAGCCUAGAUGUGUCCCUACGGAACCACUUGAUAGUAUGCGUUCGGGAGCGCAAUAGUAUGCGGUACCAUGUUACAGGACUCUAACGAAAGGUUAACAGACACAUAGUGAGACCACUAUGGGUCUCUUACUAAGUAUAAAUUUAUACUCACUCUUUUAAAUGUUUAAUUUCAGGUAAGGGUAGAGGCAAGGGCAUAAUAGCGAAUGAUAAGAAGU